UGUCUCUCGCGAAUCUUUUUGCGGUUUGGGCUUGCUGUUCAUCUAAUAGCCGGCAAGCCCUUACCCCAAAAAGCAUUCGAGGGGGAUG
RNAcentral lists this microRNA precursor (88 nucleotides) under Petromyzon marinus (sea lamprey). RNAcentral's name for it is "microRNA pma-mir-129a precursor". Its record names the gene pma-mir-129a. The stretch from base 9 to 79 matches the Rfam family "mir-129 microRNA precursor family". From Rfam's summary of the family: The mature sequence is excised from the 5' arm of the hairpin. Lineage: Eukaryota; Metazoa; Chordata; Hyperoartia; Petromyzontiformes; Petromyzontidae. The record is from miRBase by way of RNAcentral.